CCUACGGGAGGCAGCAGUGAGGAAUAUUGGUCAAUGGCCGGAAGGCUGAACCAGCCAAGCCGCGUGAGGGAGGAAGGCGCAGAGCGUCGCAGACCUCUUUUGCCGGGGGACAAAAGGCCGGACGCGUCCGGUCCUGAGGGUACCCGGAGAAAAAGCAUCGGCUAACUCCGUGCCAGCAGCCGCGGUAAUACGGAGGAUGCGAGCGUUAUCCGGAUUCAUUGGGUGUAAAGGGUGCGCAGGCGGGCCUGUAAGCCGGCGGUGAAAUCGCGGGGCUCCACCCCGCCGAGCCGUCGGAACUGGGGGCCUUGAGUGCGGCUGCGGCCUGCGGACUGCGCGGUGUAGCGGUGACAUGCCUAGCUCUCGCGC
Molecule: ribosomal RNA, 366 nt
Filed under: uncultured bacterium
Lineage: Bacteria
Description: partial 16S ribosomal RNA
Rfam family: Bacterial small subunit ribosomal RNA
Source: RNAcentral